RNAcentral lists this unclassified non-coding RNA (253 nucleotides) under uncultured Alphaproteobacteria bacterium. Its description in RNAcentral is "contains 16S-23S intergenic spacer region". It matches the Rfam family "Bacterial small subunit ribosomal RNA", at positions 524 to 776 of the family's 1533-position model. The record is from RNAcentral. Lineage: Bacteria; Pseudomonadati; Pseudomonadota; Alphaproteobacteria.
UACGAAGGGGGCUAGCGUUGUUCGGAAUUACUGGGCGUAAAGCGCACGUAGGCGGAUUGUUAAGUCAGGGGUGAAAUCCCGGGGCUCAACCCCGGAACUGCCUUUGAUACUGGCAAUCUUGAGUUUGAGAGAGGUGAGUGGAAUUCCGCGUGUAGAGGUGAAAUUCGUAGAUAUUCGGAGGAACACCAGUGGCGAAGGCGGCUCACUGGCCCGGUACUGACGCUGAGGUGCGAAAGCGUGGGGAGCAAACAGG